AUUGAACGCUGGCGGCAGGCCUAACACAUGCAAGUCGAGCGGAUGAAGGGAGCUUGCUCCUGGAUUCAGCGGCGGACGGGUGAGUAAUGCCUAGGAAUCUGCCUGGUAUUGGGGGAUAACGUCCGUAAACGGGCGCUAAUACCGCAUACGUCCUGAGGGAGAAAGUGGGGGAUCUUCGGACCUCACGCUAUCAGAUGAGCCUAGGUCGGAUUAGCUAGUUGGUGGGGUAAAGGCCUACCAAGGCGACGAUCCGUAACUGGUCUGAGAGGAUGAUCAGUCACACUGGAACUGAGACACGGUCCAGACUCCUACGGGAGGCAGCAGUGGGGAAUAUUGGACAAUGGGCGAAAGCCUGAUCCAGCAAUGCCGCGUGUGUGAAGAAGGUCUUCGGAUUGUAAAGCACUUUAAGUUGGGAGGAAGGGCAGUAAGUUAAUACCUUGCUGUUUUGACGUUACCAAAAGAAUAAGCAACGGCUAACUUCGUG
RNAcentral lists this ribosomal RNA (484 nucleotides) under uncultured bacterium. RNAcentral describes it as "partial 16S ribosomal RNA". It matches the Rfam family "Bacterial small subunit ribosomal RNA", at positions 30 to 507 of the family's 1533-position model. The record is from RNAcentral.